CUUCCUUUAUCUGCCUAGUUGACAGCUGAACACAGAAAGCAGACUUAGUAUCAGUUUUAUCACUGAACUCUGCUGACCUCUGAAUGCCUCCCUCUCCCUUGAGUCAACAGCCCCUAAAACAAGAUUCAUGGCAGCUUCAAAAACGUGAUUCCAAAGCUAGCUAAACAAAAUACUUUUCUCAACUUGAGCCAAGAUAAUAUUGCAUUACAGAGUCAACCCCCACUGAAUACAAGCAUGAUGUUCUAUGGUGUGACAUGCUUUUCUUUUUCUUGAAAGGAAAACAAAUAGAAACUGAAGGAAACUAACAUGUGAUUUGCUUUCAAUGUGUCAUUUUACUAUGAUGACAUAUUACAGAUUUCCUAAAUCCAUGAAAAAAAUAACAUACUGUAUCCAUUCUUUUUCUUACCAAGAAUAUUUAAGAGCUCAUUUUAAGAUGACCGGAAAUCAGAACGAUGGUUCCAACUAUCUGCUUGGAUCUAAUCAAAAUUCAUUCUAGGAGGUGCUGUAAAACUAGGUGCUCAUGUUUCUGGGAAGUUGAUAUGAUUGGAUUUAGAGACCACAGAAAAACACCAAAAACUGUAAUAAAAACUGUAAUAUUCUGGUAAUCUUUAGUCAUCUCAGAUUUAAU
Long non-coding RNA from Anolis carolinensis (green anole), 628 nucleotides. RefSeq lists it as uncharacterized. The transcript is spliced from 3 exons. The record is from RefSeq and is a predicted model, not a curated record. Lineage: Eukaryota; Metazoa; Chordata; Lepidosauria; Squamata; Anolidae.